UUGAAAUCUGGCUCUUUCAGAGUCCGAGUUGUAAUUUGCAGAGGGCGCUUUGGCGUUGGCAGCGGUCCAAGUUCUUUGGAACAGGACGUCACAGAGGGUGAGAAUCCCGUACGUGGUCGCUAGCCUUCGCCGUGUAAAGCCCCUUCGACGAGUCGAGUUGUUUGGGAAUGCAGCUCUAAAUGGGAGGUAAAUUUCUUCUAAAGCUAAAUACUGGCCAGAGACCGAUAGCGCACAAGUAGAGUGAUCGAAAGAUGAAAAGCACUUUGGAAAGAGAGUCAAAUAGCACGUGAAAUUGUUGAAAGGGAAGCGCUUGCAGCCAGACUUGCCUGUAGUUGCUUAUCUGGACUUUUGUCCGGUGCACUCUUCUGCGGGCAGGCCAGCAUCAGUUUGGGCGGUUGGAUAAAGGUCUCUGUCAUGUACCUCCUUUCGGGGAGGCCUUAUAGGGGAGACGACAUGCAACCAGCCUGGACUGAGGUCCGCGCAUCUGCUAGGAUGCUGGCGUAAUGGCUGUAAGCGGCCCGUCUUGAAACACGGACCAAGGAGUCUAACAUCUAUGCGAGUGUUUGGGUGUCAAGCCCAGACGCGUAAUGAAAGUGAACGGAGGUGGGAACCCUUUGGGUGCACCAUCGACCGAUCCUGAUGUCUUCGGAUGGAUUUGAGUAAGAGCAUGGCUGUUGGGACCCGAAAGAUGGUGAACUAUGCUUGAAUAGGGUGAAGCCAGAGGAAACUCUGGUGGAGGCUCGCAGCGGUUCUGACGUGCAAAUCGAUCGUCAAAUUUGGGCAUAGGGGCGAAAGACUAAUCGAACUAUCUAGUAGCUGGUUCCUGCCGAAGUUUCCCUCAGGAUAGCAGUAACGUAUUCAGUUUUAUGAGGUAAAGCGAAUGAUUAGAGGCAUGGGGGGUUGAAACAACCUUCACCUAUUCUCAAACUUUAAAUAUGUAAGAAGUCCUUGUUACUUGAUUGAACGUGGACACUUGAAUGUACCGUUACUAGUGGGCCAUUUUUGGUAAGCAGAACUGGCGAUGCGGGAUGAACCGAACGCGGGGUUAAGGUGCCAGAAUAUACGCUCAUCAGACACCACAAAAGGUGUUAGUUCAUCUAGACAGCAGGACGGUGGCCAUGGAAGUCGGAAUCCGCUAAGGAGUGUGUAACAACUCACCUGCCGAAUGAACUAGCCCUGAAAAUGGAUGGCGCUCAAGCGUAUUACCCAUACCCCGCCGCCGGGGCAGAAUUUAUGC
RNAcentral lists this ribosomal RNA (1237 nucleotides) under Phaeosphaeria oryzae. Its description in RNAcentral is "LSU rRNA". It matches the Rfam family "Eukaryotic large subunit ribosomal RNA", at positions 115 to 1372 of the family's 3401-position model. The record is from RNAcentral. Lineage: Eukaryota; Fungi; Ascomycota; Dothideomycetes; Pleosporales; Phaeosphaeriaceae.